GCGAUACGGCUCUAAACGGCAUACCUUAGGGUAUGGAGUUGUAUUGCAAUGUUGUGUUUGUGAGCUCAUCUUGAGCACGGUAGUUUCUACCAAAGGCUUACGGCUUCUCGUAAGUACCAUUCCAAUUUAAUGAACUUGUCUGUCAUUUUACACCGCUCAUUUGAGCGGUGUUUUUUAU
Non-coding RNA from Vibrio sp., 178 nucleotides. It matches the Rfam family "GcvB RNA". Rfam says of the family: The gcvB gene encodes a small untranslated RNA involved in expression of the dipeptide and oligopeptide transport systems in Escherichia coli. Included several unknown homologues in alignment (Bateman A pers obs). The record is from Rfam. NCBI's taxonomy places the organism in Bacteria, Pseudomonadati, Pseudomonadota, Gammaproteobacteria, Vibrionales, Vibrionaceae.